ACUCCUACGGGAGGCAGCAGUAGGGAAUCUUCCACAAUGGACGAAAGUCUGAUGGAGCAACGCCGCGUGAACGAUGAAGGCUUUCGGGUCGUAAAGUUCUGUUGUAAGGGAAGAACAAGUGCCGCAGGCAAUGGCGGCACCUUGACGGUACCUUGCGAGAAAGCCACGGCUAACUACGUGCCAGCAGCCGCGGUAAUACGUAGGUGGCAAGCGUUGUCCGGAAUUAUUGGGCGUAAAGCGCGCGCAGGCGGCCUCUUAAGUCUGAUGUGAAAGCCCCCGGCUCAACCGGGGGAGGGCCAUUGGAAACUGGGAGGCUUGAGUAUAGGAGAGAAGAGUGGAAUUCCACGUGUAGCGGUGAAAUGCGUAGAGAUGUGGAGGAACACCAGUGGCGAAGGCGACUCUUUGGCCUAUAACUGACGCUGAGGCGCGAAAGC
RNAcentral lists this ribosomal RNA (434 nucleotides) under uncultured bacterium. RNAcentral's name for it is "bacterial SSU rRNA". It matches the Rfam family "Bacterial small subunit ribosomal RNA", at positions 335 to 760 of the family's 1533-position model. The record is from RNAcentral.